GUGCUCAUGUCAGUAACACAUAUACUAAAAUUGUGAUGAUACAGAGAAGACUAGCAUGGCCCCUGCACAAGAUUGACAUGCAAAUUUGUGAAGUGUUCCAUAUUUUU
Molecule: small nuclear RNA, 107 nt
Organism: Pteronotus mesoamericanus
Lineage: Eukaryota; Metazoa; Chordata; Mammalia; Chiroptera; Mormoopidae
Source: RefSeq, a predicted model, not a curated record